GCCAGAGAUGGAACCUCAAAAUUUAAGUGUUAGAAUACAUAUGGAUUAUAACUAGAUCUCCCCUGCAAAAUAUUUCCCUCGCUCAUAAACCAAGCACUUAAAUUCACAUGCUCCAAUUUUAAAUAAACAAAAGAAUUGAUCUAUCAAAUGCUAAUAUACAGUAUCAUCAUUCCUGUCCAUUUAUUGCUGUCUAAAGGACUCCUUGGACCUGGAAUUUGGAAAAGCUAUGGGACUAGGACAGUCCAUGGUUCAAACGAGAUUAAUUGUGAAGGACACAUAAGGAUAAGCAUCAGCAUCGCCUCCAAAAGCUGCCAUCCCUCCGCCCACUUCAUCUUCAGAUUUCCAGUAUGUGCUGUUUGCACUGUCACACAAUCCUUCAAGGAUGGAACGCACUUUCUUCUCACCUUUCACAGAAGGAGCUAAAACACAAGCCAAGAAAGACGGUGGCAAUCCAUAUCUUAGAAUGCUCUCUGAAAAAAUACGUAUUGCACAAAAGUGCAUCCAGCAGCUGAAAACCUCUCCAUAACUGGUAUAGCUCCAUUGCAAAAGAGAGCUUCUAAAGCUUUCUUGGUCUUGCAUUAAUCUUUCCAAUUCUUGCUUCCUACUCUCUUGUGCUUCUGGACUAUACUCAAAAUCACGAAUUUGGAAACCUUUUUCACGUGCACUUGUUCUAAAGUUGUC
RNAcentral lists this unclassified non-coding RNA (681 nucleotides) under Hevea brasiliensis (rubber tree). Lineage: Eukaryota; Viridiplantae; Streptophyta; Magnoliopsida; Malpighiales; Euphorbiaceae. The record is from RNAcentral.